Molecule: transfer RNA, 65 nt
Filed under: uncultured Bacteroides sp.
Lineage: Bacteria; Pseudomonadati; Bacteroidota; Bacteroidia; Bacteroidales; Bacteroidaceae
Rfam family: tRNA
About the family: Transfer RNA (tRNA) molecules are approximately 80 nucleotides in length.
Source: RNAcentral
GGAGUAGCUCAGUUGGUAGAGCAUCGGUCUCCAAAACCGAGUGUCGGGAGUUCGAGCCUCUCCUC